RNAcentral lists this long non-coding RNA (289 nucleotides) under Linum usitatissimum (flax). Its description in RNAcentral is "long non-coding RNA (LUSI_LNC000935)". Lineage: Eukaryota; Viridiplantae; Streptophyta; Magnoliopsida; Malpighiales; Linaceae. The record is from RNAcentral.
CUGCCUCCACCUUAAAUGGACCAGAGAAUUAGGAGAACGUGUGUAUAUAGGAUUUUUGUUGUACUUUGAUUAUUUGAACUUUGGAAUCCAAUUGAAUUGUCAUGUCAUUACAGGGAAAUUGUCUUAUAUUUAAGUGAUGGUUCUCGUGAGCUUCAUAAUCCAGCUUCUAAUCGAGAGUAACUCACCAACUCGGUUUCUAAAAUCGAUCCACAACUGGAAACUUCCAACGUAUGCAUGAAUAGUCCUGGAAACUUCCAACGUAUUUGCAUGAUAAUUCCUAUAAUAUCCG